GAUGAACGCUGGCGGCGUGCCUAAUACAUGCAAGUCGAGCGAACAGAUAAGGAGCUUGCUCCUUUGACGUUAGCGGCGGACGGGUGAGUAACACGUGGAUAACCUACCUAUAAGACUGGGAUAACUUCGGGAAACCGGAGCUAAUACCGGAUAACAUAUUGAACCGCAUGUUUCAAACGUGAAAGGCGGCUUUGCUUUCCCUUAUGGAUGGAUCCGCGCCGUAUAAGCUAGUUGGUAAGGUAACGGCUUACCAAGGCAACGAUACGUAGCCGACCUGAGAGGGUGAUCGGCCACACUGGAACUGAGACACGGUCCAGACUCCUACGGGAGGCAGCAGUAGGGAAUCUUCCGCAAUGGGCGAAAGCCUGACGGAGCAACGCCGCGUGAGUGAUGAAGGUCUUCGGAUCGUAAAACUCUGUUAUCAGGGAAGAACAAAUGUGUAAGUAACUGUGCACAUCUUGACGGUACCUGAUCAGAAAGCCACGGCUAACUACGUG
RNAcentral lists this ribosomal RNA (497 nucleotides) under uncultured bacterium. RNAcentral describes it as "partial 16S ribosomal RNA". It matches the Rfam family "Bacterial small subunit ribosomal RNA", at positions 28 to 507 of the family's 1533-position model. The record is from RNAcentral.